ACCUGUUCCCAUACCGAACACAGAAGUUAAGCUCCUUAGCGCCGAGGGUAGUACGCAAGUGCGAGAGUAGGACGUUGCUGGGC
Molecule: ribosomal RNA, 83 nt
Filed under: Turicibacter sanguinis
Lineage: Bacteria; Bacillati; Bacillota; Erysipelotrichia; Erysipelotrichales; Turicibacteraceae
Source: RNAcentral